This 440-nucleotide ribosomal RNA is filed under the name uncultured bacterium. RNAcentral describes it as "partial 16S ribosomal RNA". It matches the Rfam family "Bacterial small subunit ribosomal RNA", at positions 338 to 795 of the family's 1533-position model. The record is from RNAcentral.
CCUACGGGUGGCAGCAGUGGGGAAUAUUGCACAAUGGGGGAAACCCUGAUGCAGCGACGCCGCGUGAGUGAAGAAGUAUUUCGGUAUGUAAAGCUCUAUCAGCAGGGAAGAAAGUGACGGUCCCUGACUAAGCAUCCCCGGCUAACUACGUGCCGGCAGCCGCGGUAAUACGUAGGGGGCAAGCGUGAUCCGGAUUUACUGGGGGUAAAGGGAGCGUAGACGGCUGAGCAAGUCUGAAGUGAAAGCCCGCGGCUCAACUGCGGGACUGCUUUGGAAACUGUCCGGCUAGAGUGCUGGAGAGGUGAGCGGAAUUCCUAGUGUAGCGGUGAAAUGCGUAGAUAUUAGGAGGAACACCAGUGGCGAAGGCGGCUUACUGGACAGUAACUGACGUUGAGGCUCGAAAGCGUGGGUAGCAAACAGGAUUAGAUACCCGUGUAGUC